This 514-nucleotide ribosomal RNA is filed under the name uncultured bacterium. RNAcentral's name for it is "partial 16S ribosomal RNA". It matches the Rfam family "Bacterial small subunit ribosomal RNA", at positions 28 to 523 of the family's 1533-position model. The record is from RNAcentral.
GAUGAACGCUGGCGGCGUGCCUAAUACAUGCAAGUCGAGCGAACAGAUGAGAAGCUUGCUUCUCUGAUGUUAGCGGCGGACGGGUGAGUAACACAUGGGUAACCUACCUAUAAGACUGGAAUAACUCCGGGAAACCGGGGCUAAUACCGGAUAAUAUUUUGAACCGCAUGGUUCAAUAGUGAAAGACGGUUUCGGCUGUCACUUAUAGAUGGACCCGCGCCGUAUUAGCUAGUUGGUAAGGUAACGGCUUACCAAGGCGACGAUACGUAGCCGACCUGAGAGGGUGAUCGGCCACACUGGAACUGAGACACGGUCCAGACUCCUACGGGAGGCAGCAGUAGGGAAUCUUCCGCAAUGGGCGAAAGCCUGACGGAGCAACGCCGCGUGGGUGAUGAAGGUCUUCGGAUCGUAAAACUCUGUUGUUAGGGAAGAACAAAUUUGUUAGUAACUGAACAAGUCUUGACGGUACCUAACCAGAAAGCCACGGCUAACUACGUGCCAGCCGCCGCGGUAA